GAUGGCGGUCAGGCCGAAGGCGGCCGCCCGUUUGUCGGGCGGGAAGGUGUCAAGGAUGAUGGAUUGCUGGUUGGGCUGCAGGCCGCCGCCA
RNAcentral lists this transfer RNA (91 nucleotides) under Komagataeibacter diospyri. RNAcentral describes it as "tRNA-Asp". Lineage: Bacteria; Pseudomonadati; Pseudomonadota; Alphaproteobacteria; Acetobacterales; Acetobacteraceae. The record is from RNAcentral.